Molecule: RNA transcript, 1910 nt
Organism: Mangifera indica (mango)
Lineage: Eukaryota; Viridiplantae; Streptophyta; Magnoliopsida; Sapindales; Anacardiaceae
Gene name: E3 ubiquitin-protein ligase FANCL
Exons: 13
Source: RefSeq, a predicted model, not a curated record
UAAAUCCACAAGGUUCAGCCGAAAUUACUUUUUCAUGGGCCGAGCAAGUGAGACCAUCUUUCAAAUCCGACCCACUUGCCAUUCUAGCGUGGCUGCGUGAGACUGAGAUUUUGGCAGCGAUUGUUGACCGGGGUAUCUUUCAAUAUGAAAAACAUUCGUCCGCCCUGUUAAUUUCUGACUUCAUUUCCUCAAAUCAAAUGGAAUGUAUUGAACAGAACAGAUUCAGAGCUUUGGCCAAUUCCUCGGAAUUUAGUCGCGCGGUAUACUCAGAGAUAGAAGAGGUUGGGUGGGAGCAUCUGGUGAGGCUGAGUGAAGACCUAAAGUUUCUUAGCUUUCGUGUUUUAGAUAAAAAGGGGAGAGUGCACCAUAUGGAAAUUCAAUUGGAUAAAAGCUAUCCCAAAAGCCCACCUUCGAUUUCAGUGGAUGUGCCAUGUGUAUUUAAUUUGAAAUGGUCCAAAAAUUCAAGAUUGAAAGAUUUGCUGCUGCAGUUCCGAGAGCAUCUGGAGAAACUUCAGGAAAUUUGGUCUAUUUUGGAUGAGAUUGAUAAAUCUCUUUGGGUUGUCAACUUGAACCAGCUUUCUCAUGCUAAUACUUGUCGACAAAUUAAUUUGGGUAAUGAUUGCUUCAUCAUGUUGCGUAUACAUCCCAAUGAUCCUAAGUCUUUGCCUGAAUGUCGCUUUAUGGGUUCUGGUCAAGCCUUGAAUUCCUCAAGGAAAACCUGGCAAAGAAACAGCAAGAGAUGGAACAAGGACAAGCCAUUUCUGGAAAAUGUUGCAAAUCUUUUAGAUGCUGAACUGCCUAGACCCCCAGAUUACCAGAAUGGUGAUCAGCAUGUGGAAUGUGGGAUUUGCUAUGCUCAAUAUCUACCUAUGAUGAGCUGGGACCUAAGAGUGGAAGUGGAACUGAUUAUAAAUGUGAUAACACCAGUUGCAGUAGGGCUUUUCAUUCUGUCUGUCUUGCAGACUGGUUGCGCUCCAUUACAACAACACGGCGGUCAUAUGAUGUUCUGUUUGGCAAUUGUCCAUACUGUUCAGACCCAGUUGCUGUAAAAAUCGACAAUCCAAAAUCAUAAUUCAACAUCAUUUCAUUCUCAUCAAAGAUGAAUCCUGUUUCUUGCCCUUAUCGGUUGAAGACAAGCAGUUUCUGCAUGUGAUAGGGACCUGCCAAAGAGAUAUGGAUUACUACAACUCCAUGAUUUGUAAGUGAUUUCCUGCUGAUAUAUAUAUAUAUAUUUGGCCGCAUGUGAUCUGCUUUGAAAUUUUCCAAUGUGACUGUUCGGUUGGGACACUGUGGUUGUUUGUAGCUCGCACUUUUUGCUAUUACUUAUAUUUUUCAGUCAUUUAAGUUAUUUUAAGGAAAAUUAAAAUUUGGGAAAUGCUAAUCGGGGUGUGGUAAAGAAAACAAACCCCACGAGUUUCAACAUUGGUGAGAAAUCUUCUAGAGAGUCUUAUAAAUGAUAGUAAAUCUUUGUUGACAUGUUGUCAUAGAUUUUCUAUAAAUCACAGUCAGGGUUUCUUCUUUAAAAUGUAUAAUAUCGGAGGAAUCUAUGAAGUUUAAAGACCAAUCCUGUAAAAAUUGUGGAUUAAAAUUUUAUUUUAUUUUUAUCAAUCUUGUUGGUAUUUUAAUGCUUGGUGGAUAUAUAUUUAAAAAAGGAGAAGAUGUUAGUGAUGACAAACAUAUGGCUCGCCAAAGCUUUCACAAGAUGGUCCCCUUGCUUCUAAAUGUGCCUCAAGUCAAAGAAUUAGGGUUGGGGGUCUGUAAUCAAACCUCUUGCUAAUCGCGUUUAAUCAACCACUUAUUACUUUGAUGUCUCUGGUGGUAAUUAUAUUUUCAAUUUCAGAGGUUGUAACAUUUGUCGUAUUUGUAAGUAAUUGAGGCUAACAGGAGUGAGCUUGUUAGAAUUUUCUUUC